CCAGACUCCUACGGGAGGCAGCAGUGGGGAAUAUUGCACAAUGGGGGAAACCCUGAUGCAGCGACGCCGCGUGGGUGAAGGAGUGCUUCGGCAUGUAAAGCCCUAUCGGCAGGGAAGAAGCAAGACGGUACCUGACUAAGAAGCUCCGGCUAACUACGUGCCAGCAGCCGCGGUAAUACGUAGGGAGCAAGCGUUAUCCGGAUUUACUGGGUGUAAAGGGCGCGUAGGCGGGAUGGCAAGUCAGAUGUGAAAUCCAGGGGCUCAACCCCUGAACUGCAUUUGAAACUGUCGUUCUUGAGUACUGGAGAGGUUGACGGAAUUCCUAGUGUAGCGGUGAAAUGCGUAGAUAUUAGGAGGAACACCAGUGGCGAAGGCGGUCAACUGGACAGCAACUGACGCUGAGUCGCGAAAGCGUGGGGAGCAAACAGGAUUAGAUACCCCGGUAGAA
This 448-nucleotide ribosomal RNA is filed under the name uncultured bacterium. Its description in RNAcentral is "bacterial SSU rRNA". It matches the Rfam family "Bacterial small subunit ribosomal RNA", at positions 331 to 795 of the family's 1533-position model. The record is from RNAcentral.